ACAACUAUAUCAGGUUUCAUUUGGAGGUUUAAUAUACAAUCUUUUGCUUGUUUACAUUGUGCCCCUUUGGCGACUUAUCGGCAGUACAUGACUGAAAGCAAUACAGGAAUACGCACACAUUAUGCACGUACAACAGCUAUGAGAUUUUUUACAGCAAGAAAUAUACAGUAAAUAAGAACUAAUCUUAAUGACUUAAGGGAUAAAAUAUUUACCUCGGCCCAGAGCUCGUCGGGCUUGGUGUGCG
RNAcentral lists this long non-coding RNA (244 nucleotides) under Hordeum vulgare. RNAcentral's name for it is "long non-coding RNA (HVUL_LNC002166)". The record is from RNAcentral. Lineage: Eukaryota; Viridiplantae; Streptophyta; Magnoliopsida; Poales; Poaceae.